This 482-nucleotide ribosomal RNA is filed under the name uncultured bacterium. RNAcentral's name for it is "partial 16S ribosomal RNA". It matches the Rfam family "Bacterial small subunit ribosomal RNA", at positions 30 to 507 of the family's 1533-position model. The record is from RNAcentral.
AUUGAACGCUGGCGGCAUGCCUUACACAUGCAAGUCGAACGGUAACAGGUCUUCGGAUGCUGACGAGUGGCGAACGGGUGAGUAAUACAUCGGAACGUGCCCGAUCGUGGGGGAUAACGAGGCGGAAGCUUUGCUAAUACCGCAUACGAUCUACGGAUGAAAGCGGGGGAUCUUCGGACCUCGCGCGGACGGAGCGGCCGAUGGCAGAUUAGGUAGUUGGUGGGAUAAAAGCUUACCAAGCCGACGAUCUGUAGCUGGUCUGAGAGGAUGAUCAGCCACACUGGGACUGAGACACGGCCCAGACUCCUACGGGAGGCAGCAGUGGGGAAUUUUGGACAAUGGGCGAAAGCCUGAUCCAGCCAUGCCGCGUGCAGGAUGAAGGCCUUCGGGUUGUAAACUGCUUUUGUACGGAACGAAAAGCCUCUUUCUAAUAAAGAGGGGUCAUGACGGUACCGUAAGAAUAAGCACCGGCUAACUACGUG